Molecule: ribosomal RNA, 470 nt
Filed under: uncultured bacterium
Lineage: Bacteria
Description: bacterial SSU rRNA
Rfam family: Bacterial small subunit ribosomal RNA
Source: RNAcentral
CCUACGGGAGGCAGCAGUGGGGAACUUGGACGAUGCGCGCAUGCGUGAUCCAGCCCUUUCGCGGCAGGUGAAGCCGUCGGGUUUAAACUGCUAUGUUCGGAGGGAAAUGGUCUGUGAUACGGGGGUCAUGACGGUACCGUAGAAUAAGCCCCGGCUAACUUCGUCCAGCAGCCGCGGUAAUACGUAGGGGCGAGCGUUAAUCGGAAUUACUGGGCGUAAAGCGUGCGCAGGCGGUGAUGUAAGUCAGAUGUGAAAUCCCCGGGCUCAACCUGGGAACUGCAUUUGUGACUGCAUCGCUGGAGUGCGGCAGAGGGGGAUGGAAUUCCGCGUGUAGCAGUGAAAUGCGUAGAUAUUCGGAGGAACACCGAUGGCGAAGGCAAUCCCCUGGGCCUGCACUGACGCUCAUGCGCGAAAGCGUGGGGAGCAAACAGGAUUAGAUACCCUGGUAGUCCACGCCCUAAACGAUGUCA